GUCAUACUGGGUGCAAUAUAGAUGGGUUUCCACACCUAUCCGCGGGCUAUCAUCGGCCUAAAUAGGUUGCACAAGAUCGAAGAAGCACAACUAGUCCAUGGGAAGAAAAGCAUUGGGACGAAAAUAAAAACUGAGUCGGGCAUUUUCCGAGCGGUUCUUUGUGGAAAAACCUUGAUAUUACUCAGAGUGAGGCCUCCUAGUAGUUAUCUGUGAAUUUUCGGGACGGUUCUCACAUGGUUAAAAAUCGGCCGAUUUUCGGUAUGGUAAAGCCUUGGCCAUUUUUGGACCGUUUUUUGCGCAACCAUUGUGCACCCAGAACGAGCCCCACCCGACCCCUAGGCCCUGGGCUUUUUUUAUGUGUCAUACUGGGUGCAAUAUAGAUGGGUUUCCACACCUAUCCGCGGGCUAUCAUCGGCCUAAAUAGGUUGCACAAGAUCGAAGAAGCAAAACUAGUCCAUGGGAAGAAAAGCAUUGGGACGAAAAUAAAAACUGAGUCUGGGCAUCUCCGAGCGGUUCUUGUGGGAGAAAACUUGAUAUACUCAGAGUGAGGCCUCCUAGUAGUUAUCUGUGAAUUUUCGGGACGUUUCUCACAUGGUUAAAAAUCGGCCGAUUUUCGGUAUGGUAAAGCCUUGGCCAUUUUUGGACCGUUUUUUGGCGCAACCUUGUGCACCCCGAACGAGCCCCACCCGACCCCUAGGCCUGGGCUUUUUUUAUGUGUCAUACUGGUGCAAUAUAGAUGGGUUUCCACACCUAUCCGCGGGCUAUCAUCGGCCUAAAUAGGUUGCACAAGAUCGAAGAAGCACAACUAGUCCAUGGGAAGAAAAGCAUUGGGACGAAAAUAAAAACUGAGUCCGGGCAUUUUCGAGCGGUUCGUGUGGGAAAAAACCUUGAUAUUACUCAGAGUGAGGCCUCCUAGUAGUUAUAUGUGAAUUUUCGGGACGGUUCUCACAUGGUUAAAAAUCGGCCGAUUUUCGGUAUGGUAAAGCCUUGGCCAUUUUUGGACCGUUUUUUGCGCAACCGUUGUGCACCCCGAACGAGCCCCACCCGACCCCUAGGCCCUGGGCUUUUUUAUGUGUCAUAAUGGGUGCAAUAUAGAUGGGUUUCCACACCUAUCCGCGGGCUAUCAUCGGCCUAAAUAGGUUGCACAAGAUCAAAGAAACAAAACUAGUCCAUGGGAAGAAAAGCAUUGGGACGAAAAUAAAAACUGAGUCUGGGCAUCUCCGAGCGGUUCUUGUGGGAGAAAACUUUAAUAUUACUCAGAGUGAGGCCUCCUAGUAGUUAUCUGUGAAUUUUCGGGACGUUUCUCACAUGGUUAAAAAUCGGCCGAUUUUCGGUAUGGUAAAGCCUUGGCCAUUUUUGACCGUUUUU
RNAcentral lists this long non-coding RNA (1368 nucleotides) under Cucumis sativus (cucumber). Its description in RNAcentral is "long non-coding RNA (CSAT_LNC001744)". The record is from RNAcentral. Lineage: Eukaryota; Viridiplantae; Streptophyta; Magnoliopsida; Cucurbitales; Cucurbitaceae.